GACGAACGCUGGCGGCGUGCUUAACACAUGCAAGUCGAACGAAGAGCGAUGGAAGCUUGCUUCUAUCAAUCUUAGUGGCGAACGGGUGAGUAACGCGUAAUCAACCUGCCCUUCAGAGGGGGACAACAGUUGGAAACGACUGCUAAUACCGCAUACGAUCUAAUCUCGGCAUCGAGGAUAGAUGAAAGGUGGCCUCUACAUGUAAGCUAUCACUGAAGGAGGGGAUUGCGUCUGAUUAGCUAGUUGGAGGGGUAACGGCCCACCAAGGCGAUGAUCAGUAGCCGGUCUGAGAGGAUGAACGGCCACAUUGGGACUGAGACACGGCCCAGACUCCUACGGGAGGCAGCAGUGGGGAAUCUUCCGCAAUGGACGAAAGACUGACGGAGCAACGCCGCGUGAGUGAUGACGGCCUUCGGGUUGUAAAGCUCUGUUAAUCGGGACGAAAGGCCUUCUUGCGAAUAGUGAGAAGGAUUGACGGUACCGGAAUAGAAAGCCACGGCUAACUACGUG
Molecule: ribosomal RNA, 510 nt
Filed under: uncultured bacterium
Lineage: Bacteria
Description: partial 16S ribosomal RNA
Rfam family: Bacterial small subunit ribosomal RNA
Source: RNAcentral